This 9016-nucleotide long non-coding RNA is filed under the name Heterocephalus glaber (naked mole-rat). RNAcentral's name for it is "lncRNA (ENSHGLG00000038407.1)". Lineage: Eukaryota; Metazoa; Chordata; Mammalia; Rodentia; Bathyergidae. The record is from RNAcentral.
CGCUAGAGACUCUGCCUCCUAAGAGACACGUUAAGCUGACUCUGUGUCUCUGUCAUUCAUCUUCACUCCCCAGGUCAGAGAGAACAAAGCAGCAGCUCUAGGUCCCGGAAUAAGGCUGGCCGAGUGGGUCAGCUACAGGUGGUGCCCCAGCAUGGGGCUCGGGACCUGGGCUUGCCUACAUAUAGGUGUUUUCUCCCUCCCCACAGAUCCAAGGGGAAGAAUGGGGCAGGUCUGGGUCCUGUUUAGGAAGGGUGGUCUGUAGCCAGAAGAAGACAGGAGAGGUGCUGGAGAAGCAACACAUGUGGCCCCCUUGGUCCUAGAGAGAGGAGGGGGUGCUGUUUCUCCUCACAGUCACAUCUCAGGACAGUGAACCAGGUGGUGCAGUCCUUGCCCCUGCAGAGCUCACCUUCCAGAGAAGAUCCUAGACAGAUAAAUAGGCACACGCAGCAGCGUCACUUAGCAUCUGGGUGGGUAGGGGAACAGCCCACCCACCCUGGGGCUGUAAAGGCAAGGGAGGUGCUAAUUAGGUGGGGUGGCAGAGAAAGCUGCUAGGAGGGUGCAAAAUGUGCAGAAAGUACAGUGCACUCAGGGUUAACCACAGCAUUUCUGGAAGAAAAGAAUACAAGCAGAGGAAAGAGCAAGUUCAAAGGCCCUGUGGUGAGAAUGCUCAGUGUGGCCAGAGUGGAACGACACAGAGGGAGGAGAGGAGAUCUGAUAGCUAUGCAAGGCCCAGAUCCUGGGCUCAGGUUGUAUCUAGGCCUUGGCAAGGAGUCUAGAUUUGCUUUAGAGGGAGAAGAAACUGAUGGGGUUUUUCUGAACAGGAGAAUGCCAUGAUCCUAUUUGCAUUUACAAAGAACACUCCCAUGACUCCAUAGUGAUUUUUUAAAUAGAUACAUCCCAUCUGUACUCCAGCCUCAUCAGUAUGUUUCUUAAAUCAGUUAACUUUACUCAAGUAACAUUCUUAAGGAAAUUUGAUGUUCCACCUCUGCAAAUGAAAAAUCAGUAUUGUCUGCCAUAAAUAGAAGAAAACCCGUAAAAACAAAUACAACCAAAACAAAGAAGUGUUAUUACUUUUUCACCAAAGACUCCUAACGAUGAUGAACCUGAGCCUGGAGCCCCCUCUGUCUGAAGGAAAGUUAGUAAGCACUGGAGAACCUAAAGUCAACUAGCACCCACCUGAGACUCUCUCCACGGGGCGCUGGAGUAUCUGAAAGAAACUUGGUGCGGAAAUACGUCUCCCACAGUAGGAUACCCCAGUCCUUCAUGCUGGUUCCAGUAGCCACAAAUCAUCUCAUAGCCUUCAUGGGCACCCUGACUAGUCUUUGGGGAAAACAUCAUAAGGGAAUAUAUUUUCAAUUUGAUAUUUCAGGUAUACUUGAAAUCAAAUCAAAAGACUUCCAGGGGCUGGGGACUUAGCUCAGUGGUUCUGGAGCCUGCCUUGCAAGUGCAAGGUCCCUAGUUCGAUCUUCGGUACAAAAAAAGAAAAAGGCUUCCAUCCUUCCCCUCUGAGACCAGGUGAUAAAUGUUUCAGAAGUGUCUGCUGUUACUCAUUAGCUCCAGAAGCUACAAAGACAGCGUGUGUAGGGUGGUGUUGUGCUUUGGUUUGGGCUGGCUUUGGGUUUUCCUUUUUGCAUACUUAUUCUCCAUGCACUGACUUCAGCUCAGCUGGCUAGGUGACCAGGUGCCAUUGCACUGCACCUGCCCCACCUGUUAUUGACAGCAGGGCCAACGUAAGGGCAUGAGGCCAAUCACACUGGCCCUGUACCCAAAGUAAAGUAGGAAACAGGCAGCGUGGGACUGAAGGACAAAUUUCCACUCAGGGGCUGCCACCUCACCUGGUAACAGAAUGUUACCCGCUUCCCUUUAGGAAUUUGCACGAUGUACAUCAUAGAGUCACAGGCAUUUGACUCCCAAAGAGUCCUUUGGACACAAGUUUCAUUUCAACAGUGGGGAAACUGAGCCCCAGAGAGAAAGCAACCUGCCUGUGUGCUCAGGACAAGGAAGUUUUCCUUGAAUAUUCCCUUUGAUCAGUGUGACUACAAUUUGCUUUUUAUGUCUGUUGAGAUUCAGAAGGGUUUUCACUCACAUGCACAUCUAUUUAUCAAUUGUUUAUCAAUUGCUUUCUAAGAAGCCACAUAUUCACAUGAGCAUCCAUAUAUAGGGGUAGGGAAAAGUUCUUCAUAACCCCCUCUCCCAGGAUCAGCCUGGACAAAGCAAAGGCAGCCGCACCAGGGUGAAGCUUCCAGUUUCCAAAGCACAAGGCCUUCUCGGCUUAUUGGCAGUCGGAUCAGGUGCCUGCAGAGAGGCCUGACUCUGUAUUUUCACUUAAUUGAAAAACCCACAUCAUCCAAGAGAGCAUCCAUGUUCGGUGACCCUUCCCUCCCUCGACGGUGACCAUUAACCUUUAAAAAGAUGCUUCGUGAGCCAGUUAGGGAGCCGCCGCCUCCAUGCCAAGGUGCAGUGAGGCUCAGAGAAGGGACCCCAUUAGGAGGGCCGGACAUGAGAAAUGCCGCAAAUGAAGGCUGGGCAGAGCAGGUACCUGGGCCACCAGAGGUCCCAGCAUGGCUGUGUCCGUGGCCUCUCAGGGCACCCAAGCCUCAGCCACAGACCUCUGGGGUGACCCAGUCUUGUUAAAGAAGUGAGUUCAACAGAGCCAACUGUGAAUGAAAUGGGUAAAUCAGAUCCUGUUGAUCCUCUGGCCAGAACCCUGUGCUGCUCUUACAGACUCAGAGUAGAAGCCAUGGCCUCUGCUUGAUCCAGCCCUUCCUCACUGGCCUGCUUCCUCUAUCUCUGUACCCCUUCUCUCCCCUCUCCAGCCACACUGACAUCCUCACUAUGCUUCAUACACCCCAGGGCCUUUGCACAGCCAUUCGUCUGCUGGGAAAGCUUCGUCUCAAGAUAGUGUCAAGGCUGCUGCCUCUCACUGUGGCUGCCUCCGGGAGGUCUUCCUUACCUUUAAAAAUCACCUCUGCACCCCCACACUCACUGUCCCCCUUCCCCCAACCAGGACCUGACAUGUGCAGGCACCUUUCACUGCUUGACCUGUCAGCAUUUGCGGAUCUAGAGAAGGGGGUGCCCUGUCCAAGGGCAAGCGUCCCUCUUUUCAGUCUGUUUGGCUCACAGCUGUGUCCCUAGUGCAGGGCACGGUGCCAGACACUCAGCAGGGCCUCCAUAAAUAUUUGUAGCCUGAGCAAGUGAACAAAUGGAUGGAAUCACAUUUGAAAGACAAAGCUCUGGGACUUCAAAGAACUUGUUGAUUAAAGGGGUGGAGUUCAGGUAUCUGCAUCCUUACUUUGGCUGAAGGGAAAGAGUAAGAAUACCAAUUGUCACCCAGGAUGGCUGGGUGCCCAGUACUGAAGAGGGCGGCAGACUGGCUGCCGUAGCAACUCUCCCUCCCACGGUGGAAGGGGCGGUGAGGAGUGGAAAGGAGGAACAUCAGGACGUUGUCAUUUGCCCUCAAGGGCCGCACUAGGACUUUAGGGUCCUGGGAGCCUCUUGCUGGUCCUUUGGCUCUGCUGGAAUCCUCUUCCCAGGGCCAGCUCCUUCCAUGACCAGUCUCAGCUCGCAUGCCACCUGCUCGGGUAGGGCUCUCCUGAUCUCAGGCACUUCCCCACCUAUCUCCUUGAUCAUGCCACCAUGUUCAUUUGUAUCAGUGCCUUUGCCCCUUUCUGAAAUGCUCGGGGUCACCCACAUCUUUACUGGGCUAUUUAUUAUCUAUAAAUCUCCAACCAGGAUGUCAGCCUUAUGACAAGGGGACCGUGCUUGUCUGUGCCUAGCUCUCAAGGCCUGCCACAUGCAGUACCCAAUAAAUGUUUGUGAAAUCAGUGGUUUUGCAAUGUUAUGUAUCCUGGGGAUUUCUUACAAAGUAGUAUUUAAAUUUUCCAGUUUUUAGAGGCCUGCAAAUAGCAUUUCCCAUUACCCCAGAGGGAUUAGAUAGUCCUUGACCUGAAUCAGGAGUGUGGCUUGUUUCAUUUCCCAAAAUCCCAUAUGUCAACAAGAAUGUUCCGUUGCUAUUUAAUGUGUUCACUGAUGCACUCUGUUAAAUUGAGUGUAAUGAUCUUUUCCCCCUACUAUACAUCUUCCAAAUCCCUCCCAUUUCUUCAAGAAUGUGUGCACAAUUUCCCAGGAAGCAGCUGCCUGCCCACUCAGCCUAGGAAAUUUGGGUGGGUGGAUCCUACACUCAGCCCCAGCAUGUGACUCAGCCUGAGCCAAUCAGCACCCUGGCCCACAGUGAGUGGUCCAGGCAGGAUAGUCAUGUGACCUCUGAGAUAGCCCACUGCUGCUCAGCCCAGGAUCAGGGACCUCAUUAAGAACUUUUGGGCUCUUGCUGCUCUUCAAACCUGCCUAGAAGGCAUCUGUGACUUCUCUUUGCUUCGCUGGGCAAUCUCAAUUAAGAACCAAGAAAACAGUGGGUGUAGGAAACUCACCUAGAUGCAGAGUUUUAUACAAUGAUGGACCCACUUCCGACUUUGGAGACUGUGGGUCACUCUUGGAGGGAAGCAGCUCCCCUUGGCUUCCUACUCCGUCCUUUCCACUAAUGGUUGACAGGUGACAGGAAAACAGGGCAUGUGGAGUAGGACUGACCUGUGUGAGUAUCUUGUGUGUGCUGCUCAUGCGCCACCUAACCCUUGACAGAUGACACAGCCCUUGCAUGCUGCCGCCAGCUCCUCCCCAUGAGGGAGACAUGAUGUGGUUUGAAAGGCCCCAGCCUGGGAGCUGGAAAGACCUGGCCCCUGAUGUCACCUCUGCCACUGACUUGACAUUUAAGCUGGGCAGGCUGGGUACCCUCUGCUUCUCUGGGCCUAGCUAUGAAAGGAAGGUGAAAGUACCUACAGCAAUGGGGUUUCCUAAGGAUUGAAUGGGGCCACAUAUGUAGAGCACCCAGCACAGGUCCAGGCUCAGAGAGAAAGCAGAGAAUACUCAUCCUUCCCCGUCCCCAAGUCCACACCCUGGCUGCCUAGACAGCUCUGUCCAGGUUCUUUCCUUCCAAGAAGGUUUCGGGAUCCUUAGUGUGAUCUUGUGUGUGUUAGAACCAGUAUUUGCCAUGAGAGUACUCACCGUAUUUUCUUCUCUCCCUCCUUGUCCCCCUUUUGCAGCUGUGCUGUCCUCUACAUGGGAUUUCUUCUCAGGGAGGCUCAUCCCCUGAGCUGGACAGCUCCCAGCUGACUGCCUCCCUGCUCAGUGGCAGCAGCAGAAAGACAGGUGCCCACAACACCAGCCCCAAAGUCCGAGGUUGCUCACCAUUGACUGCCUUGAGUCACGUGCCCUUUGCUGGACCAAUCACAGUGGCCAGAAAUGGAAUAUGGGGUCAUCAAGGCCCAGACACAGAGGUGUGGGGGCUCCCAAUAUGCCACUCUCAGGAGACAUAGGCUGCUAGAAACAACAGAUGACCCCUGUACUAGGGAACAGUUAAAAGAAAAUACUGGGCUGGGGAUUUAGCUCAGUGGUUUUGCCACCUGCUGCUGCAUAAGCACAAGGACCCGAGUUCAAUCCCUGGUAUCAAAAAAAAAAAUACUAAUGCUCUUUGACAUUCUGAAAUCAAAGAUUUGAAAUCCAAACUCAUAAGUGACAGUUCAUUUUAAGUCAACUUGGCAAGGCCGUGGUGCCCAGAGAUGAGGUCAAAUAUUAUUUAGAAGUUUCUAUAAGGGUGUUUGGGGAUGAGAUUAACAUUUAAAUCAGUGGACUUUAAGGAAAGCAGAUUGCCCUCCAUAAUGUGGGGGGCCACAUCCAAUCAGGUGAAGGCCUGCAUAGAAGAAAACACUGACCUCCUGCAAGCAAAAAGAAUUCUUCAGCAGAUGUCUCAGACUUAAACAGCAGCACCAGCUCCUUCCAGGGUCUCCAGCCUGCUGCUCUACCCUGCGGGUGCUGGACUUGCCAGCCCCCAUAGCCACAGGAGCCAAUUGCUGAAGAUAAACUUCUUUCCGUAUAUGAACCAUAGGUGUUGAAAAACUUUACCCUCUGAAGGUUUGAUAAUUGGGUCUAUGAAGUAUACUGACAAUGGACAGACUAAUGGGAGAAAAGUUAUACAAAUUCCUUACCCACACAGGGGCAUCACAGGAAAGAGAAGUGACCAGUCCCAGCCCAGGGUGAUCCGGAAUCAUAUAUACCUGCUUCAGUGGGGAGGGGGAAGGGGAAGGCUAACUGGCCAUUGGGUGCCAGCCGGGGGUAAAGUAUCUGGGCACAGAGUGACCUUGGGUACACCUGCUGUGAUGGAAGUCCACCUUUCUCUGGCUGACCAGGGCCCUGGCAGGGGAUUCUUGAUUAUUGGUUGGUUCCCUUUGUAGGAUCCAACUUUAGGCAGAUAAGGGAAGCUUGGCCGAGCCCUCUCUGUGCUUGCUGUCCCCAGGUGUCCUCUCUCUGAAAUACUCCACACACUCAAGGGCAUGUUUUUGGUGGCAUCUUUUGAACUCCUCAGCACAUGUUCUGUUGAGUGUGUCUUCUGGGAGCCCUGACUCACACCACACACUGUACUUGAAUAAAGGUUACUUCCAAAGCCCCUCACCUCUGGACUGUAACCAACUUGGUGACAAACUUAGUCCAUCUCCAUAUGCUGGCAUUUGCCACGUGGAAAAGGCCAUUUGACAGAUGGAAGCUGCGGUCCCACCCCCAACUCCCAUUUUCCUCUCUCUCUUUAAUGUUGAUUUUAUGCUCAUUUUAGAGACCCAGUCAAAAAGAUGGAUACAAGGCCAAAUCAGUGACAAAUGAAAAAGGGAUUUAGACACCUUGAGCUUUUGUGUUGUGUGGUGUGUGUGUGUGUGUGAGAGAGAGAGAGAUUAGUACUAUCCUUCGAAGGAAGGAAGGAGGAAGCUGAAUUCCUGACAGGGCUGGGAGGAGAUGGUGCCUGAACAGACUCUUGCAGUGGACCUCCACCUAGCCCUGUCUCCUAGGAUGAGGGUCCUCCAGUUUUCCUCCAGGGAUUGAAUUCACCUGACCCCACUGAUGGCCCAGUAUGAGCUCUUCCUGCUGCCAUCUGCUGCCCAGGGCCCAGGAUACCCUGUUCCUGCCCCUCCAAUGCCUCCUGCUCCCCAGACCUUCUGGUCGUUCUGCAUUUCUGUGCUCCAGGGUCUAACGUGGAUUCUGUGCCCUGUGACCUCAAAACCCAACAUAACUGAAGAAUGAAAAAAUCUUUAAAAUCACAAGGAAGGCGGCGGCAGAGGUGAUGGCGGCAGCAGCACCACCUGAGAACAGAGCUGGGCCCGGGCAUGGUGGCGCGUUCUGCACUGUGAGAGCGCAGCGGCCGCUGGAUCGCCAUGCGCCAGCGGCUCCAAAGCUCGGGCCUUUGGCCCUUCGCCUCGGCGACGGGAGGCAGCGUCCCGGAGACGAGACUGCGGGCGCUGAGCAAGCCUUGGGCAUCGUGAGGCUGGAUCUCCCCCGCAGCCACGUGGAUUUCCCUGUGAUCCUCUAUGAGCUGUGAGCCUGGUGGGUGAAGACACAAGCACCCCCUCUGACCCAGCAAGAAACUUCCUGUCACAAGGUGUAGCUUCCAUUGAGCACCCCAGGCUGGGGCCACAGCCCUUCGUGAACUCUGUUGGCCCAGAACCUUCAGCUGUAAGCAGGGCAGCCCUCGGUAUAAAUCGGGUAUUGGUUUGUGUGUGGACAAGAGAGGUUUGGUGUCUGGCAAAGGCUAACGGGAGAGUUACCAGCAGAGCUUUCCCAGCCACAGGGCAUCUGCCAGUCAGGAAUGUGUGGUUCCUGGUUCCUUGCCUGGCUGGUCUGCUUUCUUCCAAGCUUGCCUAGGGCCCAGCCUCACUAAAAGCUACAGCACUUUCCAUGCAAAAUCUGCCUUCUUCCAGCCCCUGGACUUUGGGAGCUCUACACAAGUGGGAACUUCCUUUCCCUCACUUCCUUUACCCCCUAGUCAGAGCAUUUCAGCCAUUUCUACCUCUAUACUUCCUGAUUGGACAGAGGCUGAGGACAGCACCCACCUGAUGCUUCCCACCUACCUGCCAUUUGUUCCCACUUUCACAUGGACAGUUUGCUGGCUGUUAACUGGAAUGAGGACUGGUAUGGGUAGCUUCUCCUUUUCCCAGGGCUUGGCUAAUUGCUCCCCAGUGCAACUAGUUAUUGCCCUCUCCUCAGUUAAGAGGUACAGGCCAGAGUCAGAACAGGCUAUGGGCGUCUGUGCCUAUGGGAAGUUGCCCCAAGCCUAUUCUAACCGCCUCCCCCCUUGCCUUUGCACCAGCCAUUCCCCCUACUAUCCAGUUGGGAGGGUCCACUACCCUGUGAUGAAGACCAACAUACUAGGGCUGGUGCCUGUAGCGCUAUGAGGAGACCACCACUCUUCUGCCACAAUAUCUUCACCCCUUCUGGAUCAGUCAAGGGAAAGUACUAGGGCCCCUUGAAAAGCACAGAAAGGAGGGCAAAAACAUAAAAGGGAAUACUGUACUUAAAGUGUGAAGAUUUGUAAAUAGUCUAGUCCAUGCUGAUGUUAGGGCAGAGUCUGAUUUCUACACAGAAAUGACUUUCUUUUUCUUUUAAUUUCUUAUUGUGCAAGUUCUAUGCUUCUAGCAUGGGACAUGGCUUGGGGAUGAUGCUCCCCAGUAUAGGAAGAUUGUUGUGCUAUUUGUUCGAUUUCAAUAAAAUUAUUUGUAGAUCCUGUAAAAAAAUAAAAUCAGAAGGAAAAAAAUUGUUUAAAGUUGCCAUGGCUACCAAGUGAAAAGUGCAACAUUCUGUAGCAAAUUCUGCAAACUGUAAGAUUUCAUUAUUAAAUACUUUGUUUUCAAUAAAAAACUGAUGUUAAUGUUUAUAAAAUAAUUGAAGAAAUGUUCAAAGUGCUCAUUGUCACUCCUUGUGUUUGAGAAAGAAGUACAGCAGUGAAAUUGUUUUGGAAAAUAUAAAAGUUGUUGGUGAUUUGGUUUUAAGUUGUUAUCUCUUACAUCUUCACGUCACUCAGUAAGCUUUUCUGCUCUCUGUCAACCUUAAAAUGCAUAAACAUCACAAAUAUGAGAAAUAUAUAUCUUAUUUUGAAUAAAAAUUAGUAUUGCAAAAAUUAGUGUUGGGCAUUUUUUUAUAUUAU